CUCCGUAGGUGAACCUGCGGAGGGAUCAUUACACAAAUAUGAAGGCGGGCUGGAACCUCUCGGGGUUACAGCCUUGCUGAAUUAUUCACCCUUGUCUUUUGCGUACUUCUUGUUUCCUUGGUGGGUUCGCCCACCACUAGGACAAACAUAAACCUUUUGUAAUUGCAAUCAGCGUCAGUAACAAAUUAAUAAUUACAACUUUCAACAACGGAUCUCUUGGUUCUGGCAUCGAUGAAGAACGCAGCGAAAUGCGAUAAGUAGUGUGAAUUGCAGAAUUCAGCGAAUCAUCGAAUCUUUGAACGCACAUUGCGCCCUUUGGUAUUCCAAAGGGCAUGCCUGUUCGAGCGUCAUUUGUACCCUCAAGCUUUGCUUGGUGUUGGGCGUCUUGUCUCUAGCUUUGCUGGAGACUCGCCUUAAAGUAAUUGGCAGCCGGCCUACUGGUUUCGGAGCGCAGCACAAGUCGCACUCUCUAUCAGCAAAGGUCUAGCAUCCAUUAAGCCUUUUUUUCAACUUUUGACCUCGGAUCAGGUAGGGAUACCCGCUGAACUUAAGCAUAUCA
This 559-nucleotide ribosomal RNA is filed under the name uncultured fungus. RNAcentral's name for it is "eukaryotic LSU rRNA". The stretch from base 197 to 350 matches the Rfam family "5.8S ribosomal RNA". Lineage: Eukaryota; Fungi. The record is from RNAcentral.